AGAGGUAUAGCUCAAUGGUAGAGCGCAUGCAUGAGGUCCUGGGUUCAAUCCCCAGUACCUCCA
This 63-nucleotide transfer RNA is filed under the name Camelus ferus (Wild Bactrian camel). It matches the Rfam family "tRNA". Rfam says of the family: Transfer RNA (tRNA) molecules are approximately 80 nucleotides in length. Their secondary structure includes four short double-helical elements and three loops (D, anti-codon, and T loops). Lineage: Eukaryota; Metazoa; Chordata; Mammalia; Artiodactyla; Camelidae. The record is from Rfam by way of RNAcentral.